GUCGAGCGGAACGAGUUAACUGAACCUUCGGGGGACGUUAACGGCGUCGAGCGGCGGACGGGUGAGUAAUGCCUAGGAAAUUGCCCUGAUGUGGGGGAUAACCAUUGGAAACGAUGGCUAAUACCGCAUAAUCUCUUCGGAGCAAAGAGGGGGACCUUCGGGCCUCUCGCGUCAGGAUAUGCCUAGGUGGGAUUAGCUAGUUGGUGAGGUAAUGGCUCACCAAGGCGACGAUCCCUAGCUGGUCUGAGAGGAUGAUCAGCCACACUGGAACUGAGACACGGUCCAGACUCCUACGGGAGGCAGCAGUGGGGAAUAUUGCACAAUGGGCGCAAGCCUGAUGCAGCCAUGCCGCGUGUAUGAAGAAGGCCUUCGGGUUGUAAAGUACUUUCAGCAGUGAGGAAGGUUUAUACGUUAAUAGCGUAUGGAUUUGACGUUAGCUGCAGAAGAAGCACCGGCUAACUCCGUGCCAGCAGCCGCGGUAAUACGGAGGGUGCGAGCGUUAAUCGGAAUUACUGGGCGUAAAGCGCAUGCAGGUGGUUUGUUAAGUCAGAUGUGAAAGCCCGGGGCUCAACCUCGGAAUUGCAUUUGAAACUGGCAGACUAGAGUACUGUAGAGGGGGGUAGAAUUUCAGGUGUAGCGGUGAAAUGCGUAGAGAUCUGAAGGAAUACCGGUGGCGAAGGCGGCCCCCUGGACAGAUACUG
RNAcentral lists this ribosomal RNA (701 nucleotides) under uncultured bacterium. RNAcentral describes it as "bacterial SSU rRNA". It matches the Rfam family "Bacterial small subunit ribosomal RNA", at positions 61 to 742 of the family's 1533-position model. The record is from RNAcentral.